CGCUAGCUACAGGCUUAACACAUGCAAGUCGAGGGGAAACGACAUCGAAAGCUUGCUUUUGAUGGGCGUCGACCGGCGCACGGGUGAGUAACGCGUAUCCAACCUGCCCACCACUUGGGGAUAACCUUGCGAAAGUAAGACUAAUACCCAAUGACGUCUCUAGAAGACAUCUGAAAGAGAUUAAAGAUUUAUCGGUGAUGGAUGGGGAUGCGUCUGAUUAGCUUGUUGGCGGGGUAACGGCCCACCAAGGCAACGAUCAGUAGGGGUUCUGAGAGGAAGGUCCCCCACAUUGGAACUGAGACACGGUCCAAACUCCUACGGGAGGCAGCAGUGAGGAAUAUUGGUCAAUGGACGAGAGUCUGAACCAGCCAAGUAGCGUGCAGGAAGACGGCCCUAUGGGUUGUAAACUGCUUUUAUAAGGGAGUAAAGUGAGAGUCGUGACUCUUUUUGCAUGUACCUUAUGAAUAAGGACCGGCUAAUUCCGUGCCAGCAGCCGCGGUAAUACGGAAGGUCCGGGCGUUAUCCGGAUUUAUUGGGUUUAAAGGGAGCGUAGGCCGGAGAUUAAGCGUGUUGUGAAAUGUAGAUGCUCAACAUCUGAACUGCAGCGCGAACUGGUUUCCUUGAGUACGCACAAAGUGGGCGGAAUUCGUGGUGUAGCGGUGAAAUGCUUAGAUAUCACGAAAAAGUCCGAUUG
RNAcentral lists this ribosomal RNA (694 nucleotides) under uncultured Prevotella sp. RNAcentral's name for it is "bacterial SSU rRNA". It matches the Rfam family "Bacterial small subunit ribosomal RNA", at positions 34 to 715 of the family's 1533-position model. The record is from RNAcentral. Lineage: Bacteria; Pseudomonadati; Bacteroidota; Bacteroidia; Bacteroidales; Prevotellaceae.